Molecule: ribosomal RNA, 503 nt
Filed under: uncultured bacterium
Lineage: Bacteria
Description: bacterial SSU rRNA
Rfam family: Bacterial small subunit ribosomal RNA
Source: RNAcentral
GAUGAACGCUAGCUACAGGCUUAACACAUGUAAGUCGAGGGGAAACGAUAUUGGAAGCUUGCUUCCGAUAGGCGUCGACCGGCGCACGGGUGAGUAACGCGUAUCCAACCUGCCCAUCACUUGGGGAUAACCUUGCGAAAGUAAGACUAAUACCCAAUGACGUCUCUAGAAGACAUCUGAAGGAGAUUAAAGAUUUAUCGGUGAUGGAUGGGGAUGCGUCUGAUUAGCUUGUUGGCGGGGUAACGGCCCACCAAGGCGACGAUCAGUAGGGGUUCUGAGAGGAAGGUCCCCCACAUUGGAACUGAGACACGGUCCAAAACUCCUACGGGAGGCAGCAGUGAGGAAUAUUGGUCAAUGGGCGAGAGCCUGAACCAGCCAAGUAGCGUGCAGGAUGACGGCCCUAUGGGUUGUAAACUGCUUUUAUAAAGGAAUAAAGUGAGUCUCGUGAGACUUUUUGCAUGUACCUUAUGAAUAAGGACCGGCUAAUUCCGUGCCAGCAGCCG